GCCCUGGUAGCUCAGCGGUAGAGCGCUCGGCUGUUAACCGAUAGGUCGAAGGUUCGAUCCCUUCCCAGGGCG
This is a transfer RNA of 72 nucleotides. It matches the Rfam family "tRNA". Rfam says of the family: Transfer RNA (tRNA) molecules are approximately 80 nucleotides in length. Their secondary structure includes four short double-helical elements and three loops (D, anti-codon, and T loops).